Molecule: long non-coding RNA, 1826 nt
Filed under: Homo sapiens (human)
Lineage: Eukaryota; Metazoa; Chordata; Mammalia; Primates; Hominidae
Description: ZIC4 antisense RNA 1 (ZIC4-AS1)
Source: RNAcentral
UUGUUGAUUGCUGCUAGUGAGAAGAAACACACAAUGGGUCUAUUUUUAGCAGAGGUGGCUUUGAAGGAGCAGGAGAUAUUAACAAUUGCUUGGCUGCAUUCUUAAGUUCCAAGGAUCCUGGGCAAGAAUAUUAGGAGCCUGAGGGGUACCCAAAGGAAACCCAUCUAUGUGACCCAACUUGGGCUGAUUGAAUGCAAACCAGAGCAGAAAGAAGCAGAAACACAAUUAUGGACUUAGGAAACGGUUUGAAACUAACGGGGCAGAGGGAGUUUGACAGAGAGGAGAACAAAUCGCUGACAAAGAACCUUUUACGUUUCAUCAGCGUUGUUAGGACGACAAGCAGGAAUGUCUCAGAUAAUAACUCCCACUUCAAAGAUUUCUCAGCUCAAUAGAAAGCGGACCAUCCUUUUUAUUCAACCACAAGGACUGGCACUAAAGAAGACUCCACUGUUUGAUUUUUUUUUUCACUGUGUUUAUUUUUCCCCUAUUCACUGGGGUACUUGGAUAAAAUAAACAACAAGACAAUUAAGGGAACAUGGACUUCUAACUUUCCUGCCAUCUUCCCCACAUCCCCUUGGCCUUGGGCUCUUGAGUUUGCAUCUAGGACUAGUCCAGGCCUAAGGGUACCACACACCCUGCCUUAGAAAGAAACAAGUUUCAGGGGCCGCAAGAGACUUUUGGGAUGGAAAGGAAGAAGAGUGGCACGGAAAGCCAGAGUGGAAAUUCCCAAGGGCACAGUCUGAACUCCUCAGACUCCCCCAGGGUGGCUCCCUUCCCCCCAAGUCGCCAUUAAAUUUAAGCCUCCAUCCUACUCAAGAGUCAGAAAGGCGAUUUGCACAAAACUGAGCUUGGAAUGCUCAUUUGUUAAGCUUCGGAGGCUGCUUUAAAAUCUUUCACUCCUGAUCCUGGAGCCUCUUUGGGGUGCAGUCAAGAUGCACAGAGUCCUUGUGCUCCUCCCUUUCCUGAAAGUGUCCCCUGCGCCAAAGCCUCCCACAUCAGGGUGCAGAGUGAACCCCUAAACGUGGGCAAGUCGGGUUCUAGAAAGGAAGUAUAUACUGGAGAGCGCAGUGACAGUAUUAAAUGGCGUGAAAGCAAAGGUCAGCGCAAAUGUAUCUUAAUAGAGUGUCUGUAGUGAAGUGUGCCGCCUUUGAAGCGGCCGCUCCCCGCGCGUAUUUCCAUGGCGAGCCUAACGCGGCAUGCUGAUGCACCGUCAAACUCACACUUUCAACCCCAAAACCCGACUCUUUGAACAACCCGAGCUUGAUUAGACCUUUCUCCUUUUCUUUCCCCUCUUACAAACCAUUUCCUCGCCUUUAGAAACUCGCCAUCAAACCCAAACGCGCCCUCUGAUCACCGCAGAAAGCAGAAACAAAGGGGGCUGAGCGGCGAUUCAAGCGGCUCUUUUCUUCCUUCACAUUAUUAUCCAUUUUUAUUAUGAUCGGGUACAAGUGCCCAUUCGCGUGGGUUUUGUUUACCGGAAAUUAAAUGAAAAUGAUUUAGUCCGCGUCAAACAAAAAUAUAUACUUGUAUACACAAGAAAAAAGGUCUGUUAGACGUAAAUAUUAUGUCCUUAAUGAAAAGCCUGGACGGGCUCCAGGCUUGGCCUUUCAGGAUUUCAGUGCGACUUGCACAUUGCCAUAGAAAUCCUAACUUACCAUGAAGAUGCACCGUGGCGAAGAAACACUGCUUUGUGCGCGGGCCCUUUGAUGUAGCAGGCGCGAGAUGCGGGGCGCUCAGCUGCGCGGAGCGAGAUUACCUUGCGAGCAACGCGGUGGACAUCUGUAACAAGCAAAUGAAAAAUUAAAGGCGAUUAGUGGCCGACCAAA